RNAcentral lists this ribosomal RNA (521 nucleotides) under Candidatus Bathyarchaeota archaeon. RNAcentral describes it as "bacterial SSU rRNA". It matches the Rfam family "Archaeal small subunit ribosomal RNA", at positions 957 to 1478 of the family's 1478-position model. The record is from RNAcentral. Lineage: Archaea; Thermoproteati; Candidatus Bathyarchaeota.
GAUUGAAGGUCUUGCCAGACAAGCUGAGAGGAGGUGCAUGGCCGUCGCCAGUUCGUGCCGUGAGGUGUCCUGUUAAGUCAGGCAACGAUCGAGACCCGCGCCCCUAGUUGCCAGCGGCACCCCGGAAGGGGGUCGGGCACACUAGGGGGACUGCCGCCGAUAAGGCGGAGGAGGGAGCGGGCUACGGCAGGUCAGUAUGCCCCGAAUCCCUCGGGCCACACGCGAGCUGCAAUGGCAGGGACAAUGGGUUCCAACCUCGAAAGGGGAAGGUAAUCCUUAAACCCUGCCUCAGUUGGGAUCGAGGGCUGUAACUCGCCCUCGUGAACAUGGAAUCCCUAGUAAUCGCGCGUCAUCAACGCGCGGUGAAUACGUCCCCGCUCCUUGCACACACCGCCCGUCGCUCCACCCAAGUGAGGCCUAGAUGAGGCGUAGUCUUUUGGCUGCGUCGAAUCUAGGUUUCGCGAGGGGGGAGAAGUCGUAACAAGGUGGCCGUAGGGGAACCUGCGGCCGGAUCACCUCCU